RNAcentral lists this long non-coding RNA (665 nucleotides) under Struthio camelus australis. Its description in RNAcentral is "lncRNA (ENSSCUG00000001125.1)". The record is from RNAcentral. Lineage: Eukaryota; Metazoa; Chordata; Aves; Struthioniformes; Struthionidae.
CUUUGGAAAAGCUAGAGUUUGACUUCCAAAACCUUUAAAUCAUAAUUAUUAUUUAUAUGCAUGCAUUUCAUAUUGCACGUAUUACAAUCACAUUUAUGUAACUUUUCCUUAGUUAUUUUGUAUACAGUUUUCCAGAAGUGUGGAAACUUUUGAAGAACGACAAUGUCAAAAAUCAUCAUUUCCCUCUAUGUCAAGUAAAAUGUAAGUUGGAGAUGAGGUCUAGUCACCAAAGAAAUCCUCUAAGUGUGUUAGAAGCUGAAGCAUGACUCAUAUUUCAUUACUAUUUGAAGACGAAGGUCCCUUGUCAGUAAUGCCUGAGUAACAUACUGUCAUUAACUUCCCUCAUACAUAUGGGCACCCUGAAAUAAACUGCUAGCUUUUGAGUGUCUACAUUGGUGACAAUCUGUGAAGAAAUCAGAGUAUACUCCUGACAACAGCAUCAAUGAUUCUACAUAUGGUAUGCAAUAUAACCUGCAUACCAAGGAAAUGAAAUAUAAUGUGAUUCAGAAGUCCAGCUCACGAAAUCAAGCCUAAUGGCUCAAGGUGGCGCAAGGAAGGGGCUACUCACUGAAUCUCUGUUCUGGGGAGUUAUCAGCAGCUCUCUUCACCAAAUUUCUCCUCCUCGUAAUCCUUCACUUGCAACAGCAUUAAGCGACCCAUCUUAG